GGUUAUGUAGCUCAACUGGAUAGAGCACCUCACUACGGAUGAGGAGGUUUGGGGUUCGACUCCCUACAUGACCA
RNAcentral lists this transfer RNA (74 nucleotides) under Bacteroidota bacterium. RNAcentral describes it as "Bacteroidetes bacterium (soil metagenome) tRNA-Arg". It matches the Rfam family "tRNA". Rfam says of the family: Transfer RNA (tRNA) molecules are approximately 80 nucleotides in length. Their secondary structure includes four short double-helical elements and three loops (D, anti-codon, and T loops). RNAcentral also lists the same sequence under 2 other names. Lineage: Bacteria; Pseudomonadati; Bacteroidota. The record is from RNAcentral.